AUCAGGGUUCGAUUCCGGAGAGGGAGCCUGAGAAACGGCUACCACAUCCAAGGAAGGCAACAGGCGCGCAAAUUACCCAAUCUAGACAGUAGGAGGUGGUGAAGAGAAUUACUAAGUGGUGGUCUAAUGACUACUAGCUUGGAAUGAACGUAAUUUAAGCAAUUCGAUGAGUAACAACUGGAGGGCAAGUCCUGGUGCCAGCAGCCGCGGUAAUUCCAGCUCCAGUAAUCUGCGUUAAAGUUGUUGCGUUUAAAACGCUCGUAGUUGGAUAACGCAGUCGCAAAAGGUAAUCUGUAUACAUACUAAGUAGCUGUCGGUGGAAACUUGCGCAGCAGUUGUUUUGGUCUUCACUGAUCGAAACGAUUGUGUGUGGGUACUGCUGGCAGUGGGUAUGUUGCAGAUGUUAACGCCUUGUUGUGACUAUUUGCGCGUGAGUGUGAUGGUUGACCUUAAGUGUGUUGAGCAUCAUGUCUCACGGAGUGUGCCUUGAAUAAAUCAGAGUGCUUAAAACAAGCGAUUGCUUGAAUGUGAUAGCAUGGAACGAACAAACGUGUGUAAGUGCGUAUAGUGUUGUUUUGGAUGGGUUUAUGACUCAUCUUACGACCUGUACGUGCAGCACCUACCUUAAUACGGAUGUUGGUUUCUGUAUACGGUGACGAUUAAAAGGAGCGGUUGGGGGCAUUGGUAUUUGACCGCGAGAGGUGAAAUUCUUAGACCGGCCAAGGACUGACAAAUGCGAAGGCAUUUGCCUAGACCGUUUCCAUUAAUCAAGAACGAUAGUGGGAUGUUCAAAGACGAUUAGAUACCGUCGUAGUUCCCACUGUAAACUAUGCCGACCUGGGAUCAGCCUGUGAGAUAUUACAAGCUAAAGG
This 872-nucleotide ribosomal RNA is filed under the name Myxobolus sp. BWX-2016. RNAcentral describes it as "bacterial SSU rRNA". It matches the Rfam family "Eukaryotic small subunit ribosomal RNA", at positions 369 to 1079 of the family's 1831-position model. The record is from RNAcentral. Lineage: Eukaryota; Metazoa; Cnidaria; Myxozoa; Bivalvulida; Myxobolidae.